UACGGGAGGCAGCAGUGGGGAAUAUUGCACAAUGGGCGCAAGCCUGAUGCAGCCAUGCCGCGUGUAUGAAGAAGGCCUUCGGGUUGUAAAGUACUUUUCAGUCGUGAGGAAGGUGUUAAGGUUAAUAACCUUAGCAAUUGACGUUAGCGACAGAAGAAGCACCGGCUAACUCCGUGCCAGCAGCCGCGGUAAUACGGAGGGUGCGAGCGUUAAUCGGAAUUACUGGGCGUAAAGGGCACGCAGGCGGUUAAUUAAGUUGGAUGUGAAAUCCCCGGGCUUAACCUGGGAAUGGCAUUCAAGACUGGUUAGCUAGAGUCUUGUAGAGGGGGUAGAAUUCCGAUGUGUAGCGGUGAAAUGCGUAGAGAUGUGGAGGAAUACCGGUGGCGAAGGCGGCCCCUGGACAAAGACUGACGCUCAUGUGCGAAAGCGUGGGGAGCAAAC
Molecule: ribosomal RNA, 441 nt
Filed under: uncultured bacterium
Lineage: Bacteria
Description: bacterial SSU rRNA
Rfam family: Bacterial small subunit ribosomal RNA
Source: RNAcentral